RNAcentral lists this ribosomal RNA (326 nucleotides) under uncultured bacterium. RNAcentral describes it as "bacterial SSU rRNA". It matches the Rfam family "Bacterial small subunit ribosomal RNA", at positions 29 to 333 of the family's 1533-position model. The record is from RNAcentral.
UACAAACGCUGGCGGCAUGCCUAACACAUGCAAGUCGAACGAGAAUCGGUGGAUAGAGACUUCGGUCAAUUGAAAUCGAGGACAGUGGCGGACGGGUGAGUAAUGCAUGAGCAACCUGCCUUGGAGUGGGGGAUAACGCAUCGAAAGAUGUGCUAAUACCGCGUAAGACCACGGCACCGCAUGGUGCAGGGGUCAAAGGAGCAAUCCGGUUUAAGAUGGGCUCGCGUCCGAUUAGCUAGUUGGUGAGAUAAACAGCCCACCAAGGGCAACGAUCGGUAGCCGACCUGAGAGGGUGAACGGCCACAUUGGGACUGAGAUACGGCCCA